RNAcentral lists this unclassified non-coding RNA (240 nucleotides) under uncultured fungus. RNAcentral describes it as "sequence contains ITS2". The stretch from base 1 to 52 matches the Rfam family "5.8S ribosomal RNA", at positions 103 to 154 of the family's 154-position model. The record is from RNAcentral. Lineage: Eukaryota; Fungi.
AACGCACAUUGCGCCCCUCGGUAUUCCGGGGGGCAUGCCUGUUCGAGCGUCAUUACAACCCUCAAGCCUUGCUUGGUGUUGGGCGUCACCAGCCUUGGUGUGCCCUAAAAUCAGUGGCGGCGCCGUCUGGCUCUAAGCGUAGUACAUACUCUCGCUAUAGAUGCCCGGUGGAUGCUUGCCAGCAACCUCUAAUCCAUCAAGGUUGACCUCGGAUCAGGUAGGGAUACCCGCUGAACUUAA